This 254-nucleotide ribosomal RNA is filed under the name uncultured bacterium. RNAcentral describes it as "partial 16S ribosomal RNA". It matches the Rfam family "Bacterial small subunit ribosomal RNA", at positions 524 to 776 of the family's 1533-position model. The record is from RNAcentral.
UACGUAGGGUGCGAGCGUUGUCCGGAAUUACUGGGCGUAAAGAGCUCGUAGGUGGUUUGUCGCGUUGUUCGUGAAAACCUGAGGCUUAACCUUGGGCGUGCGGGCGAUACGGGCAGACUGGAGUACUAGCAGGGGAGACUGGAAUUCCUGGUGUAGCGGUGGAAUGCGCAGAUAUCAGGAGGAACACCGAUGGCGAAGGCAGGUCUCUGGGCAUUAACUGACGCUGAGGAGCGAAAGCAUGGGGAGCGAACAGG